RNAcentral lists this signal recognition particle RNA (269 nucleotides) under Candidatus Naiadarchaeales archaeon SRR2090153.bin1042. RNAcentral's name for it is "signal recognition particle sRNA". It matches the Rfam family "Archaeal signal recognition particle RNA". The record is from RNAcentral. RNAcentral also lists the same sequence under 1 other name. Lineage: Archaea; Nanobdellati; Candidatus Undinarchaeota; Candidatus Undinarchaeia; Candidatus Naiadarchaeales.
UGGCACCGCUAGGCGGGAGGGUAGCAGUCUCCUAUACAGUAAAUCUGCUUUACGGCUGGCUGAAUGUUUGGGGCGGCUUGGUGCGCAGCUAUUGUCUCUUGCUAGGGCGUCGAAGCUUCGCCCUGUGGGGCUGAAUGCUUUGCAAACCGUGUGAGGUCCGGAAGGAAGCAACACUAAGUAAAACAGGAGGUGCUCGCAGAAAGCGGAGUGGAGCUCUAUUAAGAGGUUAACGAUAGUAAGCGGCCAUUCCCACUCAGGCUGCGGUGCUA